CCUACGGGUGGCAGCAGUGAGGAAUAUUGGUCAAUGGGCGCGAGCCUGAACCAGCCAAGUAGCGUGAAGGAUGAAUGCCCUCCGGGUUGUAAACUUCUUUUAUAAGGGAAUAAAGUGCGGCACGUGUGCCUUUUUGUAUGUACUUUAUGAAUAAGGAUCGGCUAACUCCGUGCCAGCAGCCGCGGUAAUACGGAGGGUCCGAGCGUUAUCCGGAUUUAAUGGGUUUAAAGGGAGCGUAGAUGGGUUGUUAAGUCAGUUGUGAAAGUUCGCGGCUCAACCGCAAAAUUGCAAUUGAUACUGGCAGCCUUGAGUACAGGUGAGGUAGGCGGAAUUCGUGGUGUAGCGGUGAAAUGCGUAGAUAGCACGAAGAACUCCGAUUGCGAAGGCAGCUUACUAAACGGCAACUGACAUUGAGGCUCGAAAGUGUGGGUAUCAAACAGGAUUAGAUACCCGGGUAGUC
Molecule: ribosomal RNA, 460 nt
Filed under: uncultured bacterium
Lineage: Bacteria
Description: partial 16S ribosomal RNA
Rfam family: Bacterial small subunit ribosomal RNA
Source: RNAcentral